Molecule: ribosomal RNA, 466 nt
Filed under: uncultured bacterium
Lineage: Bacteria
Description: partial 16S ribosomal RNA
Rfam family: Bacterial small subunit ribosomal RNA
Source: RNAcentral
CGAACGCUGGCGGCGUGCUUAACACAUGCAAGUCGAACGGAAAGGCCCUGCUUUUGUGGGGUGCUCGAGUGGCGAACGGGUGAGUAACACGUGAGUAACCUGCCCUUGACUUUGGGAUAACUUCAGGAAACUGGGGCUAAUACCGGAUAGGAGCUCCUGCUGCAUGGUGGGGGUUGGAAAGUUUCGGCGGUUGGGGAUGGACUCGCGGCUUAUCAGCUUGUUGGUGGGGUAGUGGCUUACCAAGGCUUUGACGGGUAGCCGGCCUGAGAGGGUGACCGGCCACAUUGGGACUGAGAUACGGCCCAGACUCCUACGGGAGGCAGCAGUGGGGAAUAUUGCACAAUGGGCGGAAGCCUGAUGCAGCAACGCCGCGUGCGGGAUGACGGCCUUCGGGUUGUAAACCGCUUUCGCCUGUUACGAAGCGUGAGUGACGGUAAUGGGUAAAGAAGCACCGGCUAACUACGUG